CCUACGGGAGGCAGCAGUGGGGAAUAUUGGACAAUGGGGGGAACCCUGAUCCAGCGACGCCGCGUGAGUGAAGAAGUAUUUCGGUAUGUAAAGCUCUAUCAGCAGGGAAGAAAAUGACGGUACCUGACUAAGAAGCCCCGGCUAACUACGUGCCAGCAGCCGCGGUAAUACGUCGGGGGCAAGCGUUAUCCGGAUUUACUGGGUGUAAAGGGAGCGGAGACGGUGCAGCAAGUCUGAUGUGAAAGGUCGGGGCCCAACCCCGGGACUGCAUUGGAAACGGGUGAACUGGAGUACGGGAGAGCUCAGCUGCAUCCCUAGUGUAGCGGUGAAAUGCGUAGAUAUUAGGAGGAACACCUGUGGCGACGGCGGCUUACUGGACUGUACCUGACGUUGCGGCUCGAAAGCGUGGGGAGCAAACAGGAUUAGAUACCCUAGUAGUC
RNAcentral lists this ribosomal RNA (440 nucleotides) under uncultured bacterium. RNAcentral's name for it is "partial 16S ribosomal RNA". It matches the Rfam family "Bacterial small subunit ribosomal RNA", at positions 338 to 795 of the family's 1533-position model. The record is from RNAcentral.